This 77-nucleotide transfer RNA is filed under the name Moraxella bovoculi. RNAcentral describes it as "tRNA-Arg". It matches the Rfam family "tRNA". From Rfam's summary of the family: Transfer RNA (tRNA) molecules are approximately 80 nucleotides in length. Their secondary structure includes four short double-helical elements and three loops (D, anti-codon, and T loops). The record is from RNAcentral. Lineage: Bacteria; Pseudomonadati; Pseudomonadota; Gammaproteobacteria; Moraxellales; Moraxellaceae. RNAcentral also lists the same sequence under 5 other names.
GCACCUAUAGCUCAGUUGGAUAGAGUGUCAGCCUCCGAAGCUGAAGGUCGUGGGUUCGAUUCCCGCUAGGUGCGCCA